CCAAUAGCGUAUAUUAAAGUUGUUGCAGUUAAAAAGCUCGUAGUUGAAUUUCGGGAUUAAUAUGCUGGUCGUGCCAUUGGUACGUACUAGUAUUAUUGAUUUCUCCCUUCUGAUAAAUCAUGAUGUCAUUAAUUUGAUGUCAUGGGGAAUCAGGACUGUUACUUUGAAAAAAUUAGAGUGUUUAAAGCAGGCUCGCGCUU
RNAcentral lists this ribosomal RNA (200 nucleotides) under uncultured Glomus. Its description in RNAcentral is "partial small subunit ribosomal RNA". It matches the Rfam family "Eukaryotic small subunit ribosomal RNA", at positions 591 to 796 of the family's 1831-position model. The record is from RNAcentral. Lineage: Eukaryota; Fungi; Glomeromycota; Glomeromycetes; Glomerales; Glomeraceae.